CAGUUAAGCGGUUGCUUCUGGUUUAGUCUAGUUAAUUCUAUCUUCCUAUAAACCCAGGUAUCAUCAACCUUUAAAACUUGUACAAGUUGUUCCCUGCACUGCACUGCCAUUCCCUAAACCUUAUUCUCUGCAGGCUUCGUUUUGUUGAAGGUGGUGGUACGUAUAGGCUAAGAGUGAGUACGUAGCUUAGCUACCAAUGGGACCUGGUGGACCUCCACCUCCUCCAGGACCUCCCGGACCUCCCGGACCGCCAGGUUUCGGCGGCCCUCCUGGUCCGCCUCCUCUCUGCUGUGGCCUUUGUGAUUGUAUUGGUUCAUGUUUGAGUUUUCUGUGCUGCUGCUGGUUAUUGCAAGACUGCUUUGGUGGGCCACCAGGGCCUCCUGGACCGCCGCCACCUCCAUGAGAUCAUCAAGCAGGCUUGAGUUUCCAGAAAUCAGUUGUAUCGCAUAUAUUUGUAGCAAUUUAUGUACAAUAAAUUUGGAUUAGAAAGAGACUUGUAAUUACGAGUCCUGUUGUGCUAAACUCCAUAGUCCAUAUAAGUUGUGAUCAUUCAUUGUUCGGUUUAAUUUAAUGUUGGAGGAUUAAAUGACCACGUACCAUUUGAUUGAGAUCGAAUGGUAAGUGACCACCAUUUCUUUGGAUCCUCGGGUCUAGAAUAAGUCUGUAAUUCCAGUCAUCACUGAAUUAUAAUUAUCUAUUUAUUUUUGUUUCAUUUUAGCAAGAAAUCAAAUCGAAUAUAAAAUUUAAACUAUCGAAUCAAAAUACUCGAUCCAUCUAAACAGUUGUGAGUUAUAUUUUCGUGUCAUUUUCACAGUGCUGUAAAGGUCUUUCAAUUCAAGAAAAACGUUUUGGUAUAAAUGGGCUAUCAUCAACCUUAAGAACUUGUACAAGUUGUUCCCUGCACUGCACUGCCAUGCAUAAAACCUUAUUCUCUGCAGGCUUCGUUUUGUUGAAGAAGGUGGUCGUACGUAUAGGCCUAGUGAGUACGUAGCUUAGCUACCAAUGAGACCUGGUGGAGGUCCCGGAGGACCUCCUGGACCGCCUCCCGGACCGCCUGGUUUCGGAGGACCUCCCGGACCGCCUGGUUUCGGAGGACCUCCCGGACCGCCUGGUCCGCAUCCUCUCUUCGGUGGCUUUUGUGAUUUCAUUGGUGCAUGUGUGAGUUUUCUGUGUUGCUGCUGGUUAUUGCAAGACUGCUUUGGUGGGCCACCACUAGGGCCUCCAGCACCCUUUGGGCCACCUGCACCAGGGCCUCCCGCACCCUUUGGCCCACCUGCACCAGGGCCUCCUGCUCCCUUUGGCCCACCUGGCCCCCCCGGUCCAGCUGGCCCGCCUGGACCACCACCUCCAUGAGAUCAUCAAGCAGGCUUGAGUUUCCAGAAAUCUGUUGUGUUGCAUACGCAGCAUAUACAGUAGUAGCAGGAACGUGUACAAUAUCUUUGAAUUAGAAAUAGAGUUGUAAUUCCGACUAAAUUCCGAGUCCAAAUAAUUGAUGAUCAUUUACUGUUUGAGUUUAAUUUAAUAUUGAAGAAGAAAGUACAGUAAAAAAAAUUAAAUGAUCAGCUACCGUUAAAUUGAGAUCGAACCAUAGGCGACCACCUUUUUUCUGGGGUCAAGAAGAACAAGUCUGUGUAAUUCCAGUCAUUACUGAGUUGUAAUCCUGAGACAGUACUGAGUUUUAAAUUUAUUUAAAUUUAUAAUUUGCUAUUU
This 1710-nucleotide small RNA is filed under the name Malus domestica (apple). Its description in RNAcentral is "sRNA MD04G0181400". The record is from RNAcentral. Lineage: Eukaryota; Viridiplantae; Streptophyta; Magnoliopsida; Rosales; Rosaceae.